Molecule: ribosomal RNA, 1186 nt
Filed under: Lacticaseibacillus paracasei
Lineage: Bacteria; Bacillati; Bacillota; Bacilli; Lactobacillales; Lactobacillaceae
Description: bacterial SSU rRNA
Rfam family: Bacterial small subunit ribosomal RNA
Source: RNAcentral
GGGCAGUGCGGCAUGCCUAUACAUGCAGUCGAACGAGUUCUCGUUGAUGAUCGGUGCUUGCACCGAGAUUCAACAUGGAACGAGUGGCGGACGGGUGAGUAACACGUGGGUAACCUGCCCUUAAGUGGGGGAUAACAUUUGGAAACAGAUGCUAAUACCGCAUAGAUCCAAGAACCGCAUGGUUCUUGGCUGAAAGAUGGCGUAAGCUAUCGCUUUUGGAUGGACCCGCGGCGUAUUAGCUAGUUGGUGAGGUAAUGGCUCACCAAGGCGAUGAUACGUAGCCGAACUGAGAGGUUGAUCGGCCACAUUGGGACUGAGACACGGCCCAAACUCCUACGGGAGGCAGCAGUAGGGAAUCUUCCACAAUGGACGCAAGUCUGAUGGAGCAACGCCGCGUGAGUGAAGAAGGCUUUCGGGUCGUAAAACUCUGUUGUUGGAGAAGAAUGGUCGGCAGAGUAACUGUUGUCGGCGUGACGGUAUCCAACCAGAAAGCCACGGCUAACUACGUGCCAGCAGCCGCGGUAAUACGUAGGUGGCAAGCGUUAUCCGGAUUUAUUGGGCGUAAAGCGAGCGCAGGCGGUUUUUUAAGUCUGAUGUGAAAGCCCUCGGCUUAACCGAGGAAGCGCAUCGGAAACUGGGAAACUUGAGUGCAGAAGAGGACAGUGGAACUCCAUGUGUAGCGGUGAAAUGCGUAGAUAUAUGGAAGAACACCAGUGGCGAAGGCGGCUGUCUGGUCUGUAACUGACGCUGAGGCUCGAAAGCAUGGGUAGCGAACAGGAUUAGAUACCCUGGUAGUCCAUGCCGUAAACGAUGAAUGCUAGGUGUUGGAGGGUUUCCGCCCUUCAGUGCCGCAGCUAACGCAUUAAGCAUUCCGCCUGGGGAGUACGACCGCAAGGUUGAAACUCAAAGGAAUUGACGGGGGCCCGCACAAGCGGUGGAGCAUGUGGUUUAAUUCGAAGCAACGCGAAGAACCUUACCAGGUCUUGACAUCUUUUGAUCACCUGAGAGAUCAGGUUUCCCCUUCGGGGGCAAAAUGACAGGUGGGUGCAUGGUUGUCGUCAGCUCGUGUCGUGAAAAUGUUGGGGUUAAGUCCCGCAACGAGCGCAACCCUUAUGACUAGUUGCCAGCAUUUAGUUGGGCACUCUAAUAAGACUGCCGGGGACAAACCGGAGGAAAGGGGGGGGAA